AUACGGAGGGUGCAAGCGUUACUCGGAAUCACUGGGCGUAAAGCGCGCGCAGGCGGCUAUUUAAGUUGGAUGUGAAAGCCUACGGCUCAACCGUAGAACUGCAUCCAAAACUAUUUAGCUAGAGUGUGGGAGAGGAAGAUGGAAUUAGUUGUGUAGGGGUAAAAUCCGUAGAGAUAACUAGGAAUACCAAAAGCGAAGGCAAUCUUCUGGAACACUACUGACGCUGAGGCGCGAAAGCGGGGGGAGCAAACAGGAUUAGAAACCCUAGUAGUCC
This 274-nucleotide ribosomal RNA is filed under the name uncultured bacterium. RNAcentral describes it as "partial 16S ribosomal RNA". It matches the Rfam family "Bacterial small subunit ribosomal RNA", at positions 523 to 796 of the family's 1533-position model. The record is from RNAcentral.